RNAcentral lists this microRNA (21 nucleotides) under Bos taurus (domestic cattle). RNAcentral's name for it is "bta-miR-2423". Lineage: Eukaryota; Metazoa; Chordata; Mammalia; Artiodactyla; Bovidae. The record is from miRBase by way of RNAcentral.
UUGUGUGGUUGUUGUUUUCCU